GAGGACUCUAGUCAUACUGCCUUGGGCAACCAGGAGGAAGGUGAGGACGACGUCAAGUCAUUCAUGGCCCUUACGGCCAGGGCUACACACGUGCUACAAUGGGGUAUACAAAGAGCAGCGAUACCGCGAGGUGGAGCAAAUCUCAUAAAAUAUCUCCCAGUUCGGAUUACACUCUGCAACUCGANUGUAUGAAGUUNGAAUCGCUAGUAAUCGUAGAUCAACAAUGCUACGGUGAAUACGUUCCCGGGUCUUGUACUCACCGCCCG
Molecule: ribosomal RNA, 266 nt
Filed under: uncultured Campylobacterota bacterium
Lineage: Bacteria; Pseudomonadati; Campylobacterota
Description: uncultured Epsilonproteobacteria bacterium partial 16S ribosomal RNA
Rfam family: Bacterial small subunit ribosomal RNA
Source: RNAcentral